This is an RNA transcript of Cucurbita moschata (crookneck pumpkin), 2406 nucleotides long. It is a transcript of the gene named pentatricopeptide repeat-containing protein At3g05340, with no coding region annotated. NCBI's taxonomy places the organism in Eukaryota, Viridiplantae, Streptophyta, Magnoliopsida, Cucurbitales, Cucurbitaceae. The record is from RefSeq and is a predicted model, not a curated record. The transcript has 2 exons.
AAAUAAAAAAGGAAAGAGAAACCUACGGCAAGGGUACAUCAAUCCCUCUUCAUCCGACUGGAGCCAAUUCGACGGCGACCGUCUCCGAGUCCCAUUUUCAUGGAUGAAACUCAAAUGGGUAUUUCAAAAACUGAGCUCCAAGCUUCCCUCUUGGGCCACUUCUCGAAUCUCCCCAUUCAGAAACCAAUUCCAUCAAAACCCAUUUGCAGAAACCUCCUCAACAUUCGUCCUCAACCAUGUAGACCCAAGCUUCCUUCUGUCCGUUUGUGGAAGAGACGGCCACCUCUAUUUGGGCUCUUCCCUCCAUGCCUCCAUCAUCAAGAGCUUCGAGCUCUCCAACCAUGAAAAUGGGGUCGUCAUAAUGAACUCUCUCAUCUCCAUGUACGAGAGGUGUGGUAAAUUGCCGGAUGCUGUCAAGGUGUUUGAUGAAAUGCCCACGAGAGAUACUGUUUCGUGGAACGCAUUGAUUGGUGGGUUUAUGAGAAAUGGGGAGUUCUGUGCUGGUUUUAGCUAUUUUAAGGCUAUGUGUUUAGUUGGUGAUUGUAAAUUUGAUAAAGCUACUUUGACGACGAUUUUAUCUGCUUGUGAUGGCUUGGAGAUGUGUUGCAUCAUUAAAAUGAUGCACGGUUUGACGUUUUUGAGUGGAUAUAAACAAGAAAUUACUGUGGGAAAUGCUCUGAUUAGUUCGUAUUUUAAAUGUGGAUGUGUUGGUUUUGGGAAGCAAGUUUUUUAUGAGAUGGAGGAGAGAAAUGUGAUUACUUGGACGGCUGUGAUCUCUGGUUUGGCUCAAAAUGGGUAUCAUGAGCACAGCCUGGAGCUGUUUAGGGAAAUGCUGAGUUGUGGCUCUGUGGAGCCAAAUUCUUUAACUUAUUUGAGCUUACUCACCGCUUGUUCUGGCUUGGAGGCAUUAGAGGAAGGAUGUCAAAUUCAUGGUCUUAUUUUGAAGUUGGGAAUUCAGUCAGAUUUGUGCAUUGGGAGUGCUCUGAUGGAUAUGUACUCAAAAUGUGGAAGCAUUGGAGAUGCUUGGAAGAUUUUUGAGUCGGCUGAGGAACUCGAUAUGGUUUCGUUGACUGUUAUCCUUGCAGGGUUCACACAGAAUGGAUGUGAGGAAGAAGCCAUCCAAAUCUUUCUGAAAAUGUUGAAAAUGGGGAUUGAGAUUGACGAAAAUGUUGUUUCAGCUGUUCUUGGAGUGUUUGGUGCUGAUACAUCUUUGAGGCUGGGUCAACAAGUUCAUUCGUUUAUUGUCAAAAAGAACUUUAGUUGCAAUCCUUUUGUGAGCAAUGGACUUAUAAACAUGUACUCCAAGUGUGGAGCACUGGAUGAAUCAGUGAAGGUCUUUGAUAGGAUGCAAAAUAGGAACUCUGUCACAUGGAACUCCAUGAUUGCAGCGUUUGCUCGACAUGGAGACGGCUUGAAAGCUCUACAUCUUUAUGAGAAUAUGAAACUGGAAGGUGCAAAGCCAACAGACAUCACGUUUCUAUCAUUACUCCAUGCUUGUAGUCAUGUUGGGUUAGUAAAUAAAGGUAUGGAGUUCCUUGAAUCAAUGACAAAAGAUCACAGGAUGAAUCCUAGGAGCGAACACUAUGCUUGUGUUGUCGACAUGUUGGGUAGAGCAGGACUGCUGUCUGAAGCUAGAACCUUCAUUGAGAAACUGCCUGAACAGCCAGGAUUACUCGUGUGGCAGGCAUUGCUCGGCGCCUGCAGCCUCUACGGUGAUUCUGAAAUGGGGAAAUAUGCAGCCGAACAUCUGUUUUCGGAAACACCGAAUAGCUCAGUCCCUUAUGUUCUGUUAGCCAACAUAUAUUCUUCUGAGGGGAAUUGGAAGGAAAGAGCAAGGACAAUCAGGAAGAUGAAGGAGACGGGAAUGGCCAAAGAAACUGGCAUCAGUUGGAUAGAGAUUGACAAGAAAGUCCAUAGUUUUACUGUUGGAGACAAAAGGCAUCCACAAGCUGAUAUCAUUUAUGGAGUUUUGAUGGAUCUGUUUGUACACAUGGUAGAUGAAGGAUAUGUACCAGAUAAGAAAUUCAUCCUCUUCUACUUGGAUCCUGAUGACAAGAAGGAACCGAUCGAUAACGAUAACGGUCGUGUUAACGAUCCAAACUUAUUCCCCUCUCUGGUAUGAAUACUAGACAUGAGCUGUUAUUAUAAUGACGUCCUUCCCACUUGUGAAGGCUACCCAUAUUAUUGCGUAGAUAGGCUCCCCAUGUUCACUUUUGCUUCUUCCACCAGGCCAGACAGGGCCACUUACUCAAGGUAACUGACCUCGAGGUCUCCAGCAUCCGGACGACUUAUUAAUUCUUUGGCAAGCAAAUAUCUGCCUGGCCUAUCUUUAUCAUCAAAGAACACUUUCCACAACCUGGUUAACAAUUGCAAAGAUGUCAAUCACUUCUUCAAAAAAGAAACCCC